UUAUGGCUCAGGCAAGCUCAUUGGCUUUUAUAUCUUGUUGUGAGGUUUUCUUUAAGACAACCUUCUUGUGAUCAUCAGAUCAAGUAUUUACAGUACCCGAGUCACAUCUACAAUAUCUUCACCUCGGUUGCAGUCUAACUGUUGUUUCUGAUGCCAUAGUUUUUUGCACCUCCUGGUUGGGUUGAGGGCAUGGAGAGGCAGUCUGUGGUAUCCGUGAUGGACAUGUUCUUCCCAGCUUAUGACUCUGGUGGGAAUGAGCUGAUUGUAGAAGAAUACCUCCAGCAUGUGAAAAACCCAGAGGACAUACGGGAUGCAUUCACUGAAAUUCUGGGUGACAUGGUCCUCGUCCUACCUACCCUGAAAGUAAUGCGGUACCACAGAGGUUAGCGUCAACAUCUAGACAUGAUCUGAAUCUUACUAAAUUAGAUCUACUGAGACAUCUAAUUGAUUUAUCAUAAUAACAAGUACAUCCUCACACACAUAGACACACACGCACGCACACGCACACACACACACACACAGAUGCAGGUGUUCCUGUGUAUCUGUAUGAGUUUCAGCAUUUAUCACAAAUGCGCCGUGAGACGAGACCCAGCUUUGUCAAGGCUGACCACUAUGAUGACGCAAUGCUUGCCCUCGGAGCCUGCUUUUGGAAUGGACACAGGUCACAGGACCGAUCAGUGAAGAGGACGAAGAGUUUAGCAGGAUAGCGAUGGCGUACAUGGCCAACUUCGCACGCAUUGGGUCUCCCAAUGGGCCGGGGUUGGUGGAGUGGACUCCCUUUGACCACACUGAGAGUUACCUGAACCUGGGCUUGGAGCAGACAGUGGGCCAGAGACUGAAGCAGAACAGGUCCCACUUCUUGAACAUAGUCCUGCCCCAGAAACUCUCAACCCACCAGACAGCCAAUGAGGAGCUCUAAAUCUCUGUGCUUUACCAUAUAUGGACGCUUCAAUGAAAACAUUAUCAACAAUCAUUUGGUAACACUUUGGUAUCACAAAUUGAAUACAUUCUGUUGUAUAUACGUGCUUUUUAAAUACUGUGGCUGUAAAAAUACACAUGUAUGUUGUACAAUGGAUGAAAAAAUAUCUAAAAGAUUACUCCUUGUAAAUGAUGUUGAAUAAAUGUGUUAUGAUGGUU
Molecule: RNA transcript, 1137 nt
Organism: Coregonus clupeaformis (lake whitefish)
Lineage: Eukaryota; Metazoa; Chordata; Actinopteri; Salmoniformes; Salmonidae
Gene name: pyrethroid hydrolase Ces2e-like
Exons: 4
Source: RefSeq, a predicted model, not a curated record